This 253-nucleotide ribosomal RNA is filed under the name uncultured bacterium. Its description in RNAcentral is "partial 16S ribosomal RNA". It matches the Rfam family "Bacterial small subunit ribosomal RNA", at positions 524 to 776 of the family's 1533-position model. The record is from RNAcentral.
UACGAGGGGGGCGAGCGUUGUUCGGAAUUAUUGGGCGUAAAGGGUGCGUAGGCGGCCUGACAAGUCUGAUGUGAAAUCCCUGGGCUCAACCCAGGGCCUGCAUCGGAAACUGUCGGGCUUGAGUAUGGGAGAGGUGAGUGGAAUUUCCGGUGUAGCGGUGAAAUGCGUAGAUAUCGGAAGGAACACCUGUGGCGCAGGCGGCCUUCUGGGUCGACCCUGACGCUGAGAGGCGAAAGCGUGGGGAGCGAACGGG